ACGGUGAGUAACACGUAUCCAACCUGCCGUCUACUCUUGGACAGCCUUCUGAAGGAAGAUUAAUACAAGAUGGCAUCAUGAGUUCACAUGUUCACAUGAUUAAAGGUAUUCCGGUAGACGAUGGGGAUGCGUUCCAUUAGAUAGUAGGCGGGGUAACGGCCCACCUAGUCUUCGAUGGAUAGGGGUUCUGAGAGGAAGGUCCCCCACAUUAGAACUGAGACACGGUCCAA
RNAcentral lists this ribosomal RNA (230 nucleotides) under uncultured bacterium. RNAcentral describes it as "partial 16S ribosomal RNA". It matches the Rfam family "Bacterial small subunit ribosomal RNA", at positions 105 to 334 of the family's 1533-position model. The record is from RNAcentral.